UGCUGUGAGCUCGAUGAGUAGGGCGGGACACGUGGUAUCCUGUCUGAAUAUGGGGGGACCAUCCUCCAAGGCUAAAUACUCCUGACUGACCGAUAGUGAACCAGUACCGUGAGGGAAAGGCGAAAAGAACCCCGGCGAGGGGAGUGAAAAAGAACCUGAAACCGUGUACGUACAAGCAGUGGGAGCACCCUUUGGGGUGUGACUGCGUACCUUUUGUAUAAUGGGUCAGCGACUUAUAUUCUGUAGCAAGGUUAACCGAAUAGGGGAGCCGGAGGGAAACCGAGUCUUAAUUGGGCGUUAAGUUGCAGGGUAUAGACCCGAAACCCGGUGAUCUAGCCAUGGGCAGGUUGAAGGUUGGGUAACACUAACUGGAGGACCGAACCGACUAAUGUUGAAAAAUUAGCGGAUGACCUGUGGCUGGGGGUGAAAGGCCAAUCAAACCGGGAGAUAGCUGGUUCUCCCCGAAAGCUAUUUAGGUAGCGCCUCGUGAAUUCAUCUCCGGGGGUAGAGCACUGUUUCGGCUAGGGGGCCAUCCCGGCUUACCAACCCGAUGCAAACUGCGAAUACCGGAGAAUGUUAUCACGGGAGACACACGGCGGGUGCUAACGUCCGUCGUGAAGAGGGAAACAACCCAGACCGCCAGCUAAGGUCCCAAAGUCAUGGUUAAGUGGGAAACGAUGUGGGAAGGCCCAGACAGCCAGGAUGUUGGCUUAGAAGCAGCCAUCAUUUAAAGAAAGCGUAAUAGCUCACUGGUCGAGUCGGCCUGCGCGGAAGAUGUAACGGGGCUAAACCAUGCACCGAAGCUGCGGCAGCGACGCUGAUGCGUUGUUGGGUAGGGGAGCGUUCUGUAAGCCUG
Molecule: ribosomal RNA, 856 nt
Filed under: Salmonella enterica
Lineage: Bacteria; Pseudomonadati; Pseudomonadota; Gammaproteobacteria; Enterobacterales; Enterobacteriaceae
Description: partial 23S ribosomal RNA
Rfam family: Bacterial large subunit ribosomal RNA
Source: RNAcentral